This 432-nucleotide ribosomal RNA is filed under the name uncultured bacterium. RNAcentral describes it as "partial 16S ribosomal RNA". It matches the Rfam family "Bacterial small subunit ribosomal RNA", at positions 29 to 506 of the family's 1533-position model. The record is from RNAcentral.
AACGAACGCUGGCGGCAGGCCUAACACAUGCCAGUCGAACGAAGUCUUCGGACUUAGUGGCGCACGGGUGAGUAACACGUGGGAAUAUACCUUACGCUGGGGGAUAACAUCGGGAAACUGAUGCUAAUACCGCAUACGCCCUUCGGGGGAAAGAUUUAUCGGCGAAAGAUUAGCCCGCGUCCGAUUAGCUAGUUGGUGAGGUAAUGGCUCACCAAGGCUCCGAUCGGUAGCUGGUCUGAGAGGAUGACCAGCCACACUGGGACUGAGACACGGCCCAGACUCCUACGGGAGGCAGCAGUGGGGAAUAUCGGACAAUGGGCGCAAGCCUGAUCCAGCCAUGCCGCGGGAGUGAUGAAGGCCUUAGGGUUGUAAAGCUCUUUCACCCACGACGAUGAGGACGGUAGUGGGAGAAGAAGCCCCGGCGAACUUCGG